GACAGAACCGACAGGGCCACGGUUCCGGUUCGGAACCGUGACACCGUACAUCCUUACUUGAAGAAUCCACCGAAGGUGAAGAAAGAUGGAGUAUUGGAAAAGAGAAAGUGAUUAAUUGUAUCUAAUUUAUUUUAGGGAUUUGAAAGUUUGACUAAGAAAAAAAGGAAAGAAUAAGAUAGUAAAAAAGGACAUGGGGUUAUUUAAUUAAAAGUCAAAAGGAACAUUAGAAAAGAGAAAAGAUAUUAAAAUUUAAUAAAAAAAAAGUAUGUGGGGCGGGUUCGAACUCCAGAUCUGGGAGACAAAAGACACUCAAACACCAAUACGCCAAAGUAGUCAAUUGAGCAUCGAGAGUCACCACCUACCUCUAUAUAUAUAUAUAUAUAUCUAAAAAUUUUGUAUUAUACAUACUUUAGGGAAAGAAGCAUUGGUGCAUACACCUCACCCCUUCCACAUAAAUCCGCCUCUGGUUAUCAAAUCUUGUUCGUGUUUGUGUCUCUUUCAUCACUCAUAAGGCUGUCUUAUGGGAGAAAAUCCACAACUAAAUAAAGAUAGGAUUUCAUUGAGAAACCAAUUAACAGGGAUCUGAACUACAUAAAAGGGAGUAAUUAAAUAAUCGUAAUCAGACAAGCCGGCAGUGUCCUUGGCCGCAUAAGUAACAGUUGCUCAGUUCAUCUCUCUGUUCGUACAUCAUGUUUCUUUGUAAUUUUAAAUUUAAAAAGAUAAAUUUUUUAAAUUUGUUAUGUUUAAAAAAUAAAUUUCUUACGUAUAAAAAUUUUAAAUAUAAAAAAAAAGAAUCAUAAACUAAAAAUAAAUUCGUAAUGAGCCAAAAAAACAAUUGGAGUAAGGGCCAGCCAUAAAUAUGGAGCUGGGGUAAGAAGACCUCAGGAGACUGGAAAAAAGAAAAAAGAAAAUAUAGGCUUAUUUUUUAACAAUUGAUAGCUUGUUUGGCUAAGUUCUUUUUUUUGGGACAAAAGUGUUUUUUUGUCGAAAGUAUUUUCGGUCAAAAAUUAAGGUGUUUGGCCAAGUUUUUGGAAGGGAAAAGAUACUUUUGAGGAAAAGGGAAAGCAACGGAGAAGCAAAAAGAAGUAGCUUCUCUCCAAAAACACUUUUCUGAGAAACACUUUUGAGAAAAAAGCAUUUAGAAGUAAUUUUACGAAUUUUUUUGUUCAUAUAUAAUAUUUAAAAUAUAAUUAUUAAAAUUGUCCUAAUUUUUUAUAGUACUCGCUCUAAACAAUAAUUAUUUACAAAUAAUAUAUAAUCUAUUAUUAAUACCUUAAAUUAGAGGAUUUAGUUAUAUAGUUUUCUUAUUUUCUCUUUGCUAGUAUUUUAAAAUGACUUCUUCCGGUUACAUCCCUUCACGGAGUUUCAUUCUUUCUUUUAACUGUCUGUUGAAUCCUAAUUCAAUGAGAAAAAGGGAUUAAAUGUUGGGUCAAUUUUCUUUUAGUGGUUUCUUAACGUUAAUCUCACUAAUUGGAGUGCUUUUAUACUCUUUUAAAUUUCUACAGUGCUAGCAAGAGUGUAACUCAGAAAAGUAUCACCUCCAAAAGGAAGUUGAAUAUCCUUCCCCCAAAGUCGAAUAAGUUCACGUGAUACCACGCGAGAGAAGUGUAUUAAAAAUGCACAAGUGUAGGCCGUCAUUUUGUAACAGAAUGCUUGUCAAUCAUAUAUAU
This 1670-nucleotide long non-coding RNA is filed under the name Nicotiana benthamiana. RNAcentral's name for it is "long non-coding RNA (NBEN_LNC026376)". Lineage: Eukaryota; Viridiplantae; Streptophyta; Magnoliopsida; Solanales; Solanaceae. The record is from RNAcentral.